GGGUACCAAAAGACGAAGGCAGUCUUCGAGCAGCGUCGUUCCAAAAAGAAAAAAGAAAAACUCAGCCGCCGGCCGCUGCCCCUCUCGGCUGCACGACGUCCGUGAGGGCGUGCCCCCUGGCCCCGUCCCUUGUCGCCUGCCCGCCGGUGCCCGCACAGGCUGCCAGUGCCAUACUGCCAUCCCUCCGUCCGGCCGUCUGCCCAGGCUGCCUGCCCGGCGCCCUGGCCUCCCGGUCGCUGGCUCUCUGCCCAGGCGCCAGGCCGCAGGUCCCACCGCCCCAGACCACCCGCGAACCAGUCCGCUGCAGGCUGCAGGCCACCGUCCCUCCAGUUCGCCGGUCAGAUUAUUAACCAUUCAGAUACCCCAGCUCCGCCUAGACGCGAAUCCUCCGCCACUAUGGUGGCAGCGGUGUCCCUGCCGAGCCAAGCACAGGCCGUGCUUCGGAGCCGGCUCUGCGACCCGGUCUUCAUCCACUCCGCCCUCAGUAGCUCCCUGGACACUAAUUACAGCAAGCUGAAGUACCUCGUCGCCAGCUCGGUCUCCGAGGCCUGCAACAAUUCUGUCCUCCUCUUGGGUCCCCGCGGGUGUGGAAAAGCAGCGGUGGUCGACAUGGUUCUUGAUGAUCUGAAGGAGGAGCACCCAGAUGCGAUUUCCGUGAUCAGACUAAAUGGGAUGCUACAUAAUGACGACAACUGUGCUAUGAAGGAAAUUGCCAGACAACUUUGUUUGGAGCAUCAGUUAUCAUUUUCAAAAAUGGCUUCUUCAGAUGACAACACUGAGUUCAUGAUUGACAUGUUACGGGAGUGCGGACUAGCUCACAAGACAAUACUAUUUAUUCUAGAAGAAUUCGACCUCUUUGCUCAGGGUAAACAGAGGUUGCUUUACAGCUUACUUGAUGCAAUGCAAUCUCUAACAUCCCAAGCUGUUGUCAUUGGUGUGAGUUGCCGCUUGGAUGCAGAUCAACUCCUAGAGAAAAGGGUUAGAUCCCGAUUCUCUCAUAGGAAACUUUUAUUUAUUUCGCCUUCGUUGGAUGAUAUACAACGGUUGGUGGAGCAUUUGCUUAUACUGGCCAAAGACUCAGGUUUACCAUCAAAGUAUAUCGCCGAUUAUAACUCAAGACUUACUAGCAUUUUUAGUGAUAAGAAAUUCAAAGGUUGUCUCAACUCCCUCAUGGAUGCUGAUGCAACAACGAGCAACAUUCAAAGAUUUCUUUUCAGAGCUGUGUCAUAUAUGGACAUGGAAUCUGGAUUCCUGUCGGUAGAAAGCUUCCUAAAGGCCCUUUCUUCCAUGCAGAGGCAACCUAAGAUGGACAGCUUACAAGUCAAAACUUUGACGCAGAUCUCUCGAUUUUGGAAUUAUACAUUCUUGUGUGCAUGCACAGAUUAGAAAGUAAGGAGCAAACCUCAUACAACUUCACCAGCAUAAUGAAAGAAUACAGAUCCAUACAAGACGCCUAUAAGACUUCUGAUAAAUAUGCAAGCACCGUUUGUUUUAGGGCCUUUGAGCACCUUUCGGAUCGUGAGCUGAUUAGUUUUGGUGACAAUAGAUGGAGAAACCAGGCGCUUGAAUACCGACCUGUUAAGCUCCUCAUAUCCUCCCGCGAGCUCGCUGAGUCCCUCAAGCUGAACACCACCUGCCCCGCUGUACUGCAGAAGCUGUUUGAUCGUGAAAGAUACAUGUAGAAUCUCCUUUCAGAUGGCCGCGCUUCACCUGACUUGAGUCGCCGCUUUCAUGUUUCACCGGGUUGUCAAGUUCAUGUUUCACUGUAAACCGGCGAUUGUAUUAGUAUCUUGUCCACUGUUCGCUGGAAAAGGUGUGGGCCGUGUGGCCAACUGCCCAGCGUGAGUCGUGACCUGCCUGUCAAUCGCUUGAGUCUUGACCAUAGGCCACACGGAAUUAGAUAUCUGUGGUGCACUGAUUUUGGGCUAACGACCCGAUUUCUAUCUCGCACAAGUUUAGCAGCGUGGUGACAGUAUUUUGGUAGCUUUGAAAUGAAUGCGCUAUUCGGAGUUUACAAAAAUA
Zea mays is the source of this 2022-nucleotide RNA transcript. It is a transcript of the gene named origin recognition complex subunit 4, with no coding region annotated. The transcript has 17 exons. The record is from RefSeq and is marked validated. NCBI's taxonomy places the organism in Eukaryota, Viridiplantae, Streptophyta, Magnoliopsida, Poales, Poaceae.